CACGUAGGGGGCAAGCGUUGUCCGGAUUUAUUGGGCGUAAAGAGCUCGUAGGCGGCUUAGUAAGUCGGGUGUGAAACCUCCAGGCUCAACCUGGAGACGCCACCCGAUACUGCUGUGGCUAGGGUCCGGUAGGGGAGCGUGGAAUUCCUGGUGUAGCGGUGAAAUGCGCAGAUAUCAGGAGGAACACCAGCGGCGAAGGCGGCGCUCUGGGCCGGUACUGACGCUGAGGAGCGAAAGCGUGGGGAGCAAACAGG
This 254-nucleotide ribosomal RNA is filed under the name uncultured bacterium. RNAcentral's name for it is "partial 16S ribosomal RNA". It matches the Rfam family "Bacterial small subunit ribosomal RNA", at positions 524 to 776 of the family's 1533-position model. The record is from RNAcentral.